GGCGUAGCUCAGUUGGUUUAGAGCACAGCACUCAUAAGGCUGGGGUCGUGGGUUCGAUCCCCACCCCUGCUA
Molecule: transfer RNA, 72 nt
Filed under: bacterium
Lineage: Bacteria
Description: tRNA-Met
Rfam family: tRNA
About the family: Transfer RNA (tRNA) molecules are approximately 80 nucleotides in length. Their secondary structure includes four short double-helical elements and three loops (D, anti-codon, and T loops). Further hydrogen bonds mediate the characteristic L-shaped molecular structure. tRNAs have two regions of fundamental functional importance: the anti-codon, which is responsible for specific mRNA codon recognition, and the 3' end, to which the tRNAs corresponding amino acid is attached (by aminoacyl-tRNA synthetases). tRNAs cope with the degeneracy of the genetic code in two manners: having more than one tRNA (with a specific anti-codon) for a particular amino acid; and 'wobble' base-pairing, i.e. permitting non-standard base-pairing at the 3rd anti-codon position.
Source: RNAcentral